Molecule: long non-coding RNA, 493 nt
Filed under: Parus major (Great Tit)
Lineage: Eukaryota; Metazoa; Chordata; Aves; Passeriformes; Paridae
Description: lncRNA (ENSPMJG00000007431.1)
Source: RNAcentral
CCUGCGCGCCGAACGGACCAACGGCUGGCGUUAGCGGCGCGGGGCGGGGCGUUAGCGGCUCCCUCGCGAGCUCCGCGCGCCCCACCCGCCGUUGGCCGCUGGGAGGUCGCGCGCUCGGGGCCGGAAGGGGGCGGGGCUCGCGCGUGCGCUGUGGCGGGUGGGGCGGCGGCGGAGGAAAGUUUGGAGGUGCGGAUCCCGGAGGAAUAUUGUCAUUAGGCCGGGAAUAAAGCGGGGUGACCAAACCCACGGCAGAGCUGGCAUCUCCCCAUGGCAAAAUGUGACGUCUUUGUUCAGCCUCCACCCUGCCCUGGCUUUAAACUGAGGUAAAUAAGGCACAGAAAAUGUGUUUUGUCAAAGUGACACACAGCAAGCACUAGUAGGUGUAGCCAUCUCAGGAUAAAAGGAACAGAAGCCACUCACUUGAUGAACCUGAAAGCUUUCUUAGAAUUACAAAAGGAAUAAAUGAUCUUAAUCAUAUUAACUCCUGGGUGGU